ACGAACGCUGGCGGCGUGCCUAACACAUGCAAGUCGAACGGAGGUAGCAAUACCUCAGUGGCGAACGGGUGCGUAACACGUGAAGAACUUGUCCUUCGGCGGGGGAUAGCCGGCCCAACGGCUGGGUAAUACCGCGUACGCCGGCGAGAUCGCAUGGUCUUGCCGGGAAAGCAGCAAUGCACCGAUGGAGAGCUUCGCGGCCUAUCAGCUUGUUGGCGGGGUAAUGGCCCACCAAGGUGACGACGGGUAGCUGGUCUGAGAGGAUGAUCAGCCACAUUGGGACUGAGACACGGCCCAGACUCCUACGGGAGGCAGCAGUGGGGAAUAUUGCGCAAUGGGCGAAAGCCUGACGCAGCGACGCCGCGUGUGGGAUGACGGCCUUCGGGUUGUAAACCACUGUCGCGAGGGACGAAACAAAUGACGGUACCUCGAAAGGAAGCACCGGCUAACUCUGU
RNAcentral lists this ribosomal RNA (455 nucleotides) under uncultured bacterium. Its description in RNAcentral is "bacterial SSU rRNA". It matches the Rfam family "Bacterial small subunit ribosomal RNA", at positions 29 to 506 of the family's 1533-position model. The record is from RNAcentral.